This is a small RNA of 87 nucleotides. It matches the Rfam family "BsrC". Rfam says of the family: The 301 nucleotide sequence from Kouji Nakamura has been trimmed to a highly conserved ~85 nucleotide long core to form this family. The record is from Rfam.
UAUACCUAAAACAAUGAAAGCCCUACCUCUCUUUCAUCCUUACGGCUCCUUGUCCGUGCCAGUGUGAAUCAGGAUUGUAAAAAUCAA